This 864-nucleotide ribosomal RNA is filed under the name uncultured archaeon. RNAcentral describes it as "SSU rRNA". It matches the Rfam family "Archaeal small subunit ribosomal RNA", at positions 474 to 1337 of the family's 1478-position model. The record is from RNAcentral.
AACCAGCACCUCAAGUGGUCAGGAUGAUUAUUGGGCCUAAAGCAUCCGUAGCCGGCUCUGUAAGUUUUCGGUUAAAUCUGUACGCUUAACGUACAGGCUGCCGGGAAUACUGCAGAGCUAGGUAGUGGGAGAGGUAGACGGUACUCGGUAGGAAGGGGUAAAAUCCUUUGAUCUAUUGAUGACCACCUGUGGCGAAGGCGGUCUACCAGAACACGUACGACGGUGAGGGAUGAAAGCUGGGGGAGCAAACCGGAUUAGAUACCCGGGUAGUCCCAGCUGUAAACUAUGCAAACUCAGUGAUGCAUUGGCUUGUGGCCAAUGCAGUGCUGCAGGGAAGCCGUUAAGUUUGCCGCCUGGGAAGUACGUACGCAAGUAUGAAACUUAAAGGAAUUGGCGGGGGAGCACCACAAGGGGUGAAGCCUGCGGUUCAAUUGGAGUCAACGCCAGAAAUCUUACCCGGAGAGACAGCAGAAUGAAGGUCAAGCUGAAGACUUUACCAGACAAGCUGAGAGGUGGUGCAUGGCCGUCGCCAGCUCGUGCCGUGAGAUGUCCUGUUAAGUCAGGUAACGAGCGAGAUCCCUGCCUCUAGUUGCCACCAUUACUCUCAGGAGUAGUGGGGCGAAUUAGCGGGACCGCCGCAGUUAAUGCGGAGGAAGGAAGGGGCCACGGCAGGUCAGUAUGCCCCGAAACUCUGGGGCCACACGCGGGCUGCAAUGGUAACGACAAUGGGUUUCGAAUUCGAAAGGAUGAGGUAAUCCUCAAACGUUACCACAGUUAUGGCUGAGGGCUGCAACUCGCCCUCACGAAUAUGGAAUCCCUAGUAACUGCGUGUCACUAUCGCGCGGUGAAUACGUCCCUGCUCCU